RNAcentral lists this ribosomal RNA (253 nucleotides) under uncultured bacterium. Its description in RNAcentral is "partial 16S ribosomal RNA". It matches the Rfam family "Bacterial small subunit ribosomal RNA", at positions 524 to 776 of the family's 1533-position model. The record is from RNAcentral.
UACGUAGGGAGCAAGCGUUGUCCGGAAUCAUUGGGCGUAAAGCGCGCGUAGGCGGCCCUGUAAGUCCGUUGUGAAAGUCAAAGGCUCAACCUUUGAAAGCCGAUGGAUACUGCAGGGCUAGAGUCCGGAAGAGGCGAGUGGAAUUCCUGGUGUAGCGGUGGAAUGCGCAGAUAUCAGGAGGAACACCAAUAGCAAAGGCAGCUCGCUGGGACGGUACUGACGCUAAGGCGCGAAAGCGUGGGGAGCGAACAGG